Molecule: small nuclear RNA, 107 nt
Organism: Rhinopithecus bieti (black snub-nosed monkey)
Lineage: Eukaryota; Metazoa; Chordata; Mammalia; Primates; Cercopithecidae
Source: Ensembl
UUGCUUGCUUUGACAGCACAUAUACUAAAAUCAGAAUAAUACAGAGAAGAUUAGCAUGGUCCCUGCACAAGGAUGACACACAAAUUUGUGAAGCAUUCCAUAUUUUU